GGUAUGCAAAUCACAGUCAUGCCAAUUUCAGUAUUGUCUAAAUUGAUCACGGUGAAACUACAUCUGCUGUUCUAGAUUCAAGUUGAGUCUUGACCUCUAUAAAUAUGUACUUGCUUUUCCUCUCCAUAGGUUUCUAGCAUUCUGAAUGUAUCCUAUUGGCACAUAAUUACAUCAAUUUUCCUUGCAAAUCAACUUAGAAAUCCAUUGCCCCCUGUACAAAAUCAACUUUCAAUGGAUCAUGCCCAUGCAUAACUUCAGUUUUGGCUGGAUUUUGGAACUGACAAACAUUAGUUGUAUAUGUGUAUUCAGGUAAAGAAAAGACAUGGUAUUCAAACUAUUCUGGUUUCUCUAUUAAAUCGAAGAUGACAACGACAUCGACGAAGGGAUGAGGCGGCAAUAGUUGCAUUCUCUGUAUAUGAACAUGAAGACCUAGAAGGUCGUCUCCUGGAAAGGGAUGCUUCAUUUACAAGAGCGGCUCUCCCCAACAACACUGUUGUGAUGUACUGAAGCCUCCCGUUCCACAUGUUGGGUACUUACACCUCAACGUCACUUCUAUGAGUUGUGGCCUAGAUCAGCAUGUGUAUGUGCCACAGCUUGUGGGAGGGACAAAAUGGGAGGUCGCCUUGAAAUUGUGGAAGUGCAAGGGAGGCCGGAAGAGUGCAUUGCUACACUGCUGCC
Molecule: long non-coding RNA, 678 nt
Organism: Triticum aestivum (bread wheat)
Lineage: Eukaryota; Viridiplantae; Streptophyta; Magnoliopsida; Poales; Poaceae
Exons: 3
Source: RefSeq, a predicted model, not a curated record